Molecule: microRNA precursor, 208 nt
Filed under: Oryza rufipogon (brownbeard rice)
Lineage: Eukaryota; Viridiplantae; Streptophyta; Magnoliopsida; Poales; Poaceae
Description: MIR812 microRNA precursor family
Rfam family: MIR812 microRNA precursor family
Source: Rfam by way of RNAcentral
AAUAACUGUAGUUUUAUACUAUUCACGUUCAACAUUUGACCGUUCGUCUUAUAUGAAAUUUUUUUCUGAUUAGUAUUUUUAUUGCUAUUAGAUAAUAAAACAUGAAUAGUACUUUAUGUGUGACUAAAUAUUUUCAAUUUUUUCACAAUUUUUUUAAAUAAGACGGACGGUCAAACGUUGGGCACGGAUAUCCACGGCUGCACUUAUU